RNAcentral lists this ribosomal RNA (1372 nucleotides) under uncultured bacterium. RNAcentral's name for it is "bacterial SSU rRNA". It matches the Rfam family "Bacterial small subunit ribosomal RNA", at positions 28 to 1381 of the family's 1533-position model. The record is from RNAcentral.
GAUGAACGCUGGCGGCGUGCCUAAUACAUGCAAGUCGAGCGAACGGACGAGAAGCUUGCUUCUCUGAUGUUAGCGGCGGACGGGUGAGUAACACGUGGAUAACCUACCUAUAAGACUGGGAUAACUUCGGGAAUCCGGAGCUAAUACCGGAUAAUAUUUUGAACCGCAUGGUUCAAAAGUGAAAGACGGUCUUGCUGUCACUUAUAGAUGGAUCCGCGCUGCAUUAGCUAGUUGGUAAGGUAACGGCUUACCAAGGCAACGAUGCAUAGCCGACCUGAGAGGGUGAUCGGCCACACUGGAACUGAGACACGGUCCAGACUCCUACGGGAGGCAGCAGUAGGGAAUCUUCCGCAAUGGGCGAAAGCCUGACGGAGCAACGCCGCGUGAGUGAUGAAGGUCUUCGGAUCGUAAAACUCUGUUAUUAGGGAAGAACAUAUGUGUAAGUAACUGUGCACAUCUUGACGGUACCUAAUCAGAAAGCCACGGCUAACUACGUGCCAGCAGCCGCGGUAAUACGUAGGUGGCAAGCGUUAUCCGGAAUUAUUGGGCGUAAAGCGCGCGUAGGCGGUUUUUUAAGUCUGAUGUGAAAGCCCACGGCUCAACCGUGGAGGGUCAUUGGAAACUGGAAAACUUGAGUGCAGAAGAGGAAAGUGGAAUUCCAUGUGUAGCGGUGAAAUGCGCAGAGAUAUGGAGGAACACCAGUGGCGAAGGCGACUUUCUGGUCUGUAACUGACGCUGAUGUGCGAAAGCGUGGGGAUCAAACAGGAUUAGAUACCCUGGUAGUCCACGCCGUAAACGAUGAGUGCUAAGUGUUAGGGGGUUUCCGCCCCUUAGUGCUGCAGCUAACGCAUUAAGCACUCCGCCUGGGGAGUACGACCGCAAGGUUGAAACUCAAAGGAAUUGACGGGGACCCGCACAAGCGGUGGAGCAUGUGGUUUAAUUCGAAGCAACGCGAAGAACCUUACCAAAUCUUGACAUCCUUUGACAACUCUAGAGAUAGAGCCUUCCCCUUCGGGGGACAAAGUGACAGGUGGUGCAUGGUUGUCGUCAGCUCGUGUCGUGAGAUGUUGGGUUAAGUCCCGCAACGAGCGCAACCCUUAAGCUUAGUUGCCAUCAUUAAGUUGGGCACUCUAAGUUGACUGCCGGUGACAAACCGGAGGAAGGUGGGGAUGACGUCAAAUCAUCAUGCCCCUUAUGAUUUGGGCUACACACGUGCUACAAUGGACAAUACAAAGGGCAGCGAAACCGCGAGGUCAAGCAAAUCCCAUAAAGUUGUUCUCAGUUCGGAUUGUAGUCUGCAACUCGACUACAUGAAGCUGGAAUCGCUAGUAAUCGUAGAUCAGCAUGCUACGGUGAAUACGUUCCCGGGUCU